Molecule: unclassified non-coding RNA, 268 nt
Filed under: Hevea brasiliensis (rubber tree)
Lineage: Eukaryota; Viridiplantae; Streptophyta; Magnoliopsida; Malpighiales; Euphorbiaceae
Source: RNAcentral
ACAUCAAGGGCAAGAAAUCGCACCAGAUCGUGUCCGACGCGAUCAGCAUCCUCUGCAAUCUCGAACAUCGCGGCGCGGUCGGCGCCGAUCCGCGCGCCGGCGACGGCGCGGGCAUCCUUGUGCAGAUUCCGCACGCUUUCUUCGCACGCAAGGCGAAGGAAGCGGGCUUCACCCUGCCCGGCCCCGGCCAAUACGCCGUCGGCCAGUUGUUCAUGCCGCGCGAAAAGCCCUGGCGCGAAGUCAUCAAGGGCAUCGUCAAGGACAAGAU